AACGAACGUUAGCGGCGCGCUUAACACAUGCAAGUCGAGCGAGAAAGGGGCAACCCCGGUAAAGCGGCGCACGGGUGAGUAACACGUAGGUAAUCUACCCUCGGGUGGAGGAUAACUUUCCGAAAGGAAGGCUAAUACUGCAUGAGACCACGACCUCGAAAGGGGAUGGGGUCAAAGCCGGCCUCUGUACACAAGCUGGCGCCUGAGGAUGAGCCUGCGGCCCAUCAGCUAGUUGGUAGGGUAAUGGCCUACCAAGGCGAAGACGGGUAGCUGGUCUGAGAGGAUGAUCAGCCACACUGGAACUGAGACACGGUCCAGACUCUUACGGGAGGCAGCAGUGGGGAAUCUUGCGCAAUGGGCGAAAGCCUGACGCAGCGACGCCGCGUGAGUGAUGAAGGCCUUCGGGUUGUAAGACUCUGUGGAGAGGGACGGAA
This 434-nucleotide ribosomal RNA is filed under the name uncultured bacterium. Its description in RNAcentral is "bacterial SSU rRNA". It matches the Rfam family "Bacterial small subunit ribosomal RNA", at positions 29 to 450 of the family's 1533-position model. The record is from RNAcentral.